AACGAACGCUGGCGGCGCGUUUUAAGCAUGCAAGUCGAACGGUAGGCGGGGGCAGCUCCGCUGAGAGUGGCGCACGGGUGAGUAACACGUAGGUGAUCUACCCUGGGAUUGGGGAUAGCCCAUGGAAACAUGGGGUAAUACCGAAUGAGCUCUUUUGGUCAUGGCCGAAAGAGGAAAGGCGCGGGUGCGCCGACCUGGGAUGAGCCUGCGGCCUAUUAGCUAGUUGGCGGGGUAAAGGCCCACCAAGGCGACGACGGGUAGCCGGCCUGAGAGGGUGAACGGCCACACUGGGACUGAGAUACGGCCCAGACUCCUACGGGAGGCAGCAGCUAAGAAUCUUCCGCAAUGGGGGAAACCCUGACGGAGCGACGCCGCGUGGAUGAUGAAGGCCGAAAGGUUGUAAAAUCCUUUUCUCUGUGAAGAAUAAGUGAGGCAGGAAAUAGCCGCAUGAUGACGUUAGCAGAGGAAUAAGCCCCGGCUAACUACGCGCCAGCAGCCGCGGUAA
RNAcentral lists this ribosomal RNA (505 nucleotides) under uncultured bacterium. Its description in RNAcentral is "partial 16S ribosomal RNA". It matches the Rfam family "Bacterial small subunit ribosomal RNA", at positions 29 to 523 of the family's 1533-position model. The record is from RNAcentral.